CGAUGGGAACCACGUUAAUAUUCGUGGGCCUGGCGGAGGUGACGGAUCGGAAAGCGUGUAUGUCCUUAUCGGAUUGGACAUGCUGUGGACCGGUUCCAGGAAAUAGCCCCGCCAUAUAGACCGUACCCCAAACCGACACAGGUGGACUGGUAGAGUAUACCCAGGCGCUUGAGAGAAUGGUGUUGAAGGAACUCGGCAAAUUGCCCUCGUAACUUCGGAAGAAGAGGGCCCCGUUGUGGCGCAAGCCAUGGCGGGGGGCACAGACCAGGGGGUAGCGACUGUUUACUAAAAACACAGGGCUCUGCGAAGCCACACAAGGCGACGUAUAGGGUCUGACGCCUGCCCGGUGCCGGAAGGUUAAGAGGAGAGGUGCAAGCCUUGAAUUGAAGCCCCGGUAAACGGCGGCCGUAACUA
This 414-nucleotide ribosomal RNA is filed under the name Bacillus toyonensis. Its description in RNAcentral is "bacterial LSU rRNA". It matches the Rfam family "Bacterial large subunit ribosomal RNA", at positions 1416 to 1942 of the family's 2925-position model. The record is from RNAcentral. Lineage: Bacteria; Bacillati; Bacillota; Bacilli; Caryophanales; Bacillaceae.